RNAcentral lists this ribosomal RNA (579 nucleotides) under uncultured fungus. Its description in RNAcentral is "eukaryotic LSU rRNA". The stretch from base 220 to 373 matches the Rfam family "5.8S ribosomal RNA". Lineage: Eukaryota; Fungi. The record is from RNAcentral.
GGUUUCCGUAGGUGAACCUGCGGAAGGAUCAUUAAUGUAACCGGACCGGCCUUUGCCGUAAAACGCAACGGAUCGGGAAGGGAGAUAUCAUAUACCCUGUAUUUAUUUACUUUUGUUGCUUUGGCGGGCCGUCCUUUUAGGCGUCGGCCCCGGCUGAUCGUGCCCGCCAGAGGACCCAAAUUCUUUAUCAGUGAUGUCUGAGUAUUAUAUAAUAGUUAAAACUUUCAACAACGGAUCUCUUGGUUCUGGCAUCGAUGAAGAACGCAGCGAAAUGCGAUAAGUAAUGUGAAUUGCAGAAUUCAGUGAAUCAUCGAAUCUUUGAACGCACAUUGCGCCCGCUGGUAUUCCGGCGGGCAUGCCUGUUCGAGCGUCAUUAUGACCAAUCAAGCUCUGCUUGGCCUUGGGGCCCGCUGUACCGGCGGCCCUUAAAAUCAGUGGCGGUGCCGUCUGGCUCUAAGCGUAGUAAUACUUCUCGCUACAGGGUCCAGCCGUCCACCCGCCAGAACCCCUAAUUUUCUUAGGUUGACCUCGGAUCAGGUAGGGAUACCCGCUGAACUUAAGCAUAUCAAUAAGCGGAGG